Molecule: ribosomal RNA, 253 nt
Filed under: uncultured bacterium
Lineage: Bacteria
Description: partial 16S ribosomal RNA
Rfam family: Bacterial small subunit ribosomal RNA
Source: RNAcentral
UACGUAGGGUGCAAGCGUUAAUCGGAAUUACUGGGCGUAAAGUGUGCGCAGGCGGUUUUGUAAGUCUGAUGUGAAAUCCCCGGGCUCAACCUGGGAAUUGCAUUGGAGACUGCAAGGCUAGAAUCUGGCAGAGGGGGGUAGAAUUCCACGUGUAGCAGUGAAAUGCGUAGAGAUGUGGAGGAACACCGAUGGCGAAGGCAGCCCCCUGGGUCAAGAUUGACGCUCAUGCACGAAAGCGUGGGGAGCAAACAGG